Molecule: ribosomal RNA, 337 nt
Filed under: uncultured bacterium
Lineage: Bacteria
Description: bacterial SSU rRNA
Rfam family: Bacterial small subunit ribosomal RNA
Source: RNAcentral
UCCACGCCGUAAACGAUGGAUACUAGUUGUUGGUUGUACAUUGGUAUGAUCAGUGAUUAAGCGAAAGCAAUAAGUAUCCCACCUGGGGAGUACGGUCGCAAGAUUGAAACUCAAAGGAAUUGACGGGGGCCCGCACAAGCGGUGGAGCAUGUGGUUUAAUUCGAUGAUACGCGAGGAACCUUACCAGGGCUUAAAUGUAAGUUGCAUAGUUUAGAGAUAGACUUUUCUUCGGACUACUUACAAGGUGCUGCAUGGUUGUCGUCAGCUCGUGCCGUGAGGUGUCAGGUUAAGUCCUAUAACGAGCGCAACCCCUACCGUUAAUUGCCAGCAUGUAAAG